UACAGAGGUCUCAAGCGUUGUUCGGAUUCAUUGGGCGUAAAGGGUGCGUAGGUGGCGCUGUAAGUCGGGUGUGAAAUUUCGGAGCUUAACUCCGAAACUGCAUUCGAUACUGCGGUGCUUGAGGAUUGGAGAGGAGACUGGAAUUCAUGGUGUAGCAGUGAAAUGCGUAGAGAUCAUGAGGAAGACCAGUGGCGAAGGCGGGUCUCUGGACAGUUCCUGACACUGAGGCACGAAGGCCAGGGGAGCAAACGGG
This 253-nucleotide ribosomal RNA is filed under the name uncultured bacterium. Its description in RNAcentral is "partial 16S ribosomal RNA". It matches the Rfam family "Bacterial small subunit ribosomal RNA", at positions 524 to 776 of the family's 1533-position model. The record is from RNAcentral.